GAGGACUCGGCAACGCUGCAUGCGCUCCAAACGCUGUAGAAGUCAACGUAGUUGCGAAUAGAAGAAGCGGUGAUAUAUUUAUUAUAGUUAGAUUAAUUUUUUAGUAAAUUCAGCAUCUUCCGAUGCAAAAUUAACAAUAAUACAUAUACGAAACUGCAAUACCAAAUAAUUCAAGAUGCGGGAGUACAAAAUUGUAGUGCUGGGUUCGGGUGGCGUAGGUAAAUCGGCGUUAACAGUGCAAUUCGUGCAAGGUAUAUUCGUAGAAAAAUAUGACCCAACGAUAGAAGAUAGUUAUAGAAAACAAGUGGAAGUUGAUGGGCAACAGUGCAUGUUGGAAAUUCUAGACACAGCUGGAACGGAACAAUUCACUGCAAUGAGGGACUUGUACAUGAAAAACGGACAGGGUUUCGUAUUGGUCUAUUCAAUUACUGCCCAGUCGACGUUUAACGAUCUUCAAGACCUCCGAGAACAAAUCCUUAGAGUCAAGGACACUGAUGAUGUUCCAAUGGUAUUAGUUGGUAACAAAUGCGAUCUAGAAGAUGAACGAGUGGUGGGCAAAGAGCAGGGGAAUGCCCUGUCGCGCCAGUUCAACUGUGCCUUUAUGGAAACUUCUGCCAAAGCAAAAAUAAAUGUUCAUGAUAUAUUUUAUGAUCUAGUUCGACAAAUUAAUAAAAAAUCGCCGAAGAGGAAAGAGCCCAAGAAAAGGAAACCGAUCUGUGCACUCCUGUAAAAUAACUUCACUUGGAACCAAAAAGUAAAUUUUUAAAAAGGUUCAGGAAUUGGAUAUUUUAUGAUCUAGUUCGACAAAUAAAUAAAAAAUCUCCAGAGAAGAAACACAUCAAGAAAAAGAAAUCGCUUUGUGCGCUCCUGUAAAAUAACUUCUGGAACCAAAAAAAAAACAAAAAGAAGUACAUUUUAAAACAAAUUUCAAAACUUUUAAAGACUAAGGUGGAAAAAGUGUAGAAGCCUGAGGCAAGUGCGGACUCGCAAUGCAACAUAGUCAAAAAUUACAUUACUGAUAGCCCUAUUAUUUCUCUCCACAUGUUUUUUUUCUAUAAAUCGAGGUUGUUAACUAACUAUAGCGGCAAUUUUAGUGAUAGAGUAUUUAAAAUACUGCCAAUUUUGUGGUGUCAAAUAGACGUAGGUCUCACAGCCAGGUGCCUGCGAUUUUUCAACCGUAUGUGGAUAAUAGAAACCGCUUUAGGGCCUGGUAUUUGAAAAUGAAGAGAAAAUUGUUUCCUUGCCUGUCGAAUCAUUUUCAUAUGUGAUUUUUACGGCUCUUAUUACCAUUCAGACAAGUAGUUUUUAGUGGACGCAUCUGAUCGCCUGGUUAUCGUGGUUCUGUUUAAUUUCGAUAUUUUAUUUUUAUGUUCAUCGAGGGUGAAUAACGGUCCGCUUAUGUGGAUUUUUUAAUUAAAAAUUGCACAAAAGCUAAUACAGAGCUCUUCAGUUUAUAGCUUUUUAUAAUCAAAGCUUUGAAGUCGACUAAAAAAUCUCCAUAUUACGUUCAAUCCAUUUAUCAGAAAGAAAAUUUCAUUAUAUACUCACAAAAUCGAGUAAUUUCUUUUAAAAUUAUUAAGUUGACUUUAAGGACUUCAUAAUUUAAAAAUACUAGAAAAUAAAUGUCAUUAAACUGUAACUAAGACUAACAAAACAUUACCACACUCGGGCCUUAUUUAUCGAAUACACAGUUAUUUUUGACCACAUUUUCAAUUUUUUUAUACACAAGAACGUAAUUUAUCUUUAAGAGUAUUCGCCACUACUUAUAACAUGUCUUUACUUGCUUUAAAGAUUUCUGACACAAAAAUUGGCGGGAUUUAAACACUUUUGGCCCAUUCUAUGUGAUAGUGACCCUUGGUGCUUUAAAACAAAUAAAGUUUCUUCCAAUUAAGCUUUGUUUUUUGUUCAGGUUCAAAACUCUUCUAUAUAAGCAGUGGCGUUUAUAUCAAAUUGACAAUAUUUUAGUUAUUUUUUUGAAAAGUGAUGUACAGGGUGUGAGCGAUUUCAAAGAACUUAUUGAUGGCUGGCAAUUAAAUUAUCUCAAUAUAUUUUUAACUUCAUAAGUGGUUAUAUAUUAUUUGUACAGGGUGGUUAGUAAUUUUUUUCAUUUUAAAGUGCAAUAUGCGGCGAAGAAGGUUUUUUUUGCAUUUAGAUUAAACAAUAGAUAAUUUUUCAUAAAAUAAUCACUCUGUACGUAGUAGAUGCCUAUGUAUAAAAUGAAAAUUGUAUUUUUGUCUAUAUCUAUGAGUUCACAUAGCUUUUACAUUUCACAGCUACUUAUUAUAUUACUAUUAUUAUUAUUAUUAUUAUAACUUGAUAUACAAAUGUGUUUAUUUUAUGUAUUUAUAACAAAUAUUGAAUUUUAUAUUAUGAAUAGUUGCCGAAUGAACUUGUAUAAAUGAUUCUGUCUUUAAAAUAAGCUUACGUUUUGUUAAUGAUUUAAUUAAGGGAAACUUCGAAGAUAAUCACAAAGCUUGUAACUUUUUACUUUUAAAUAAAUUACUGGUCCCAUAAAACUAUUA
RNAcentral lists this unclassified non-coding RNA (2522 nucleotides) under Anthonomus grandis grandis. Its description in RNAcentral is "ras-related protein Rap1". The record is from RNAcentral. Lineage: Eukaryota; Metazoa; Arthropoda; Insecta; Coleoptera; Curculionidae.